CAGGCAAGGGUGUCUCACUUCAGGUCAUCUUGUAAAAGGCAAAGGCAGCCUCUUUAGCCCCGGGCUUUCCUCUGGACGUGCAAAGUACUUCUAACCAGCCACCUUCUGAAUCCCGGAGGCUCUCGAGGCCGGCCUCACGCUCUCUGAGAUGGAACAGUCCUGCGAUCAGCCCUCCCCAGGCGAGGCUCCCAUCCUGUGGCCCAGCAGCUGCCCACGCACACACGGGUGCAGGGAAGGUGCCACCUGGCAUCACCUGAACCCCAAGAGAACAGCUUCCGACCGCAGGGAGAGCGCAUCCCCUCGUCUGCCAUGUGUACACCUCACCAGGGCUGUACCACUCACAUUCUCCACAGCCUGACCUUUUGGGCCUCUGCUGUUUCUCAGCCCCCACCCCUGGCCUUUCUUCUGCUUUUCUAUUGAAAUCCUGAGCAUUUCUCAAAAUUAAGAUGAAAUAAAAUACCCUUCCUGAC
Homo sapiens (human) is the source of this 470-nucleotide long non-coding RNA. The record is from Ensembl. Lineage: Eukaryota; Metazoa; Chordata; Mammalia; Primates; Hominidae.